GAUGAACGCUGGCGGCGUGCUUAACACAUGCAAGUCGAACGAAGCACUCUAUUUGAUUUUUUUCGGAAAUGAAGAUUUUGUGACUGAGUGGCGGACGGGUGAGUAACGCGUGGGUAACCUGCCUCAUACAGGGGGAUAACAGCUGGAAACGACUGCUAAUACCGCAUAAGCGCACGGUAUCGCAUGGUACAGUGUGAAAAACUCCGGUGGUAUGAGAUGGGCCCGCGUCUGGUUAGCUAGUUGGGGGGGCAACGGCCUACCAAGGCGACGAUCAGGAGCCGACCUGAGAGAGUGACCGGCCACAGUGGGACUGAGACACAGCCCAAACUCCUACGGGAGGCAGCAGUGGGGAAUAUUGCACAAUGGGGGAAACCCUGAUGCAGCGACGCCGCGUGAACGAAGAAGUAUUUCGGUAUGUAAAGUUCUAUCAGCAGGGAAGAUAAUGACGGUACCUGACUAAGAAGCACCGGCUAAAUACGUGCCAGCAGCCGCCGCAG
This 497-nucleotide ribosomal RNA is filed under the name uncultured bacterium. Its description in RNAcentral is "partial 16S ribosomal RNA". It matches the Rfam family "Bacterial small subunit ribosomal RNA", at positions 28 to 523 of the family's 1533-position model. The record is from RNAcentral.